RNAcentral lists this ribosomal RNA (253 nucleotides) under uncultured bacterium. RNAcentral's name for it is "partial 16S ribosomal RNA". It matches the Rfam family "Bacterial small subunit ribosomal RNA", at positions 524 to 776 of the family's 1533-position model. The record is from RNAcentral.
UACGGGGGGGGCAAGCGUUGUUCGGAAUCACUGGGCGUAAAGGGCUCGUAGGCGGCCAACUAAGUCAGACGUGAAAUCCCUCGGCUUAACCGGGGAACUGCGUCUGAUACUGGAUGGCUUGAAUCCGGGAGAGGGAUGCGGAAUUCCAGGUGUAGCGGUGAAAUGCGCAGAUAUCGGGAGGAACACCAGUAGCGAAGGCGACACUCUGGGCCGGUACUGACGCUGAGGAGCGAAAGCGUGGGGAGCAAACAGG